UCCACCUGACGCCGCCCAUCGUCUCCUCCCCACCCCCUCACGCAUCCCUUCUCCUCCUCACCAUCGGGCCUGAGCAGGAGAACGAGCACCCUCCCUCGCAACCGCCUCAACGGGAGAAGAGCUCGAUCCCGGGUGUUUAGGCGUGUUGGUGAGCGCGGCGGCUGCCAUGGCUGAGCUCGAGCCCGGGCGCGGCGGAGCUUUGUUGAGCACGGUGGCGACCAGGCCAUGGCCGAGCUCGAGCUCGAGCGUCUCGUUCUCCCAUGGCUCCUGCGCGUGCCGCCCCUGGGUUCUGAAAAGCAACUGUUUGUUCCCUUCGUCGAGUCUUCGACCGUCCUGCGAACUGUUGCGUCGAGAUGUUGCAAGGCUUAUGGACUCUGUUGUUGGUUGGUCUGUGUUGUUGUUUUUUAUCGUCUUCAGGCAAGCCAUGUUCUUUCCUCCGAGAGAGAAAAGCCAAGCAAGAUUGGGCCCCAAGUUAUGAUCUUCAUCGCGUUAUGGUCACGCUCGGAGCUCUGCCGCCUCCAGAUCCACCCCGUCGAGAUUCCAGGUUCACCCUCCCCGCCAGCAAGCCUGCCAGAUCUUGAUUGGCUUUUCUCUCUCGGUCUGUUCGGUUCUGAGCUUUGCAUCCUGCUGCGUCUCUUCGUCACCUAGGGCAUCCUCUCGAGCUUCCUCGAGUUGGAUUUGCAGACCAAGGACACACAUUCUGGAGAGCUCCUUGGUCAUCAGCUGGUCCAUCACAUGAGAGUGGAUGUUUCAGAAUGGUGCGGGCAGGUUGAGCAGCAAUAGAUGUUUUUUAAGUUCUAGAUUGUUACUACCGAGAAUGGAAUUGGAGAAGAGAUACUUUUGGUGUUGUCCUUUUACCUCACGUAUCUGACAGACGACAGAAAACUAUCAGUUUAGUUGGCAAAACAAAAAAGUUCAGAUCAGUUGUGAGGAUAUAUGAUGAUUGGCAUACUUAGGCCAGAGUCUUGUAAUAACAUCUGCGACGUAGCGUCCCCUGUUAAAAAAGUCUAAAAGGUAAGUUAUGCCUUCUCUCUCGCUAAUCGAUUUUCUCUUGGCUUUUCUUUCUUUGCAGAUGAUCAUCUUUUGUGUAUUUUCACUAUUUAUUCUUGUAUCUAUAUAUGUUAAGCAAAUUGUUUCCUUUAUGACCAUGAUUCUAUAUGAUUACUAAGGUCUCUAACCUUCUCUUCUUUUCUAAUUAGAACAGGAUACUAAUCUGAUGUAUCUCCUAUUUGCGAUGACUAUUAAAUUAUGGAGUUUCUGUGUUGUCUACUGAAGCAGUCAAGCAUGCAAUCUGAGCAGAAUAUCAUUAAAAGGUCAUUGACCCAACAAAUUGAACUUAAUCUGAACCUCCCCUGUUCCUGCUAUAUAUCCUUAUUUUUCUGAACUUAACAACAGAACAACAUGAUAUAUUAGAUCACCAGAGCUUAAGUGUAAAAUUAUUCCUUACUGGUUGAGGAUUUGGAGAUGCAGUAUGUGGUUGGCGAAGGAUUUUUGUCUCCUAAGCUCCACACAUUCUCUUCCAUCUAAAACAAUCGACGCAGUCAAGUGGUGUAGUGGUUGAUGGUCGAGAGCUAAAAUCAAGGCACCAUCUUGUUUUAGGAUUUGUGUAUAUCUUUAGAUCCCCCGUUACGAUCACAAUUAUUUGCCUGAGCUCUGGUGAUUACUCCCAAGGAUUACUCUACCAAAUAACAUUACCGAGGUAUCACUGUGUGCCUGGCUGGCUAUUCAUGUGUAGUACAGCAGUUUGUGGCCUUCUCUGUUCUGUCAAAUGCCAGUACUGUUCUGUCAAAUGCCAGUACUUGCUUUGUGACCCUUGAUGUAAUGUCUGUCAACUUCCAAAGUGUCACGUAACUAUGUAUCUGUAUCUUGGAUAUCGACAUGUCGUAAACCUGUAGCCCUUUGAAACAGGACCUGUUGUCUAUUGGUAUUACUGGUAUAAAAGAGAAAUUUUGUUUGUGCUGAUGCAAGAGGGCAGCAACCUUGACGCGGCGAUCACGUCGCUCCUUAGCGUGGAGAAGUAGUGCCACCUGGCCGGCAGCAGGAAGUCUGCCGAUCGUCGAGAUCUGCUUCAAGACGGCGCCUGGAAGAAGCUCAAUGACCAGAUCAUCGUCCUCUCCAAGUGGAGGGGCCAGUUCAAGCAGGUGGGAGAGCUUGCUGUUUGUCUUGUUGCUUAGUGUGUCCAUGAGCGUGCUCCCACCGUGUGCGCGCCCAGCCGUCCAUGAGGUCAAGCGACCACUUGUAUUUGUGGAUGAGGAACACCCCGGUGUUGAGGCCAACCCGGGACCUCAGUGACACGCGUCAGCGUCGAGACACCAGACCCACUCGACCUCCGGGUGGGCAAGCAUGGUGGUGUGAACGCGGCAAGGAUCUUGGCCCAAUAUGCCACCAUGGUGGGAUGCAUCAGCCGUGUUGUAUAAGAGCUCGAUCCUGUGGAGGCGGCUAUAGCCCAUAGUCGAGAGUUUUGUUGAGGAAGUGUAGGAGCACGUUGCUGCUUGCCGCUUUGUUGGUUCAUAGGUGGGACUGCGAUCCUGCUCGACACCAUGAGCAUGCAGUCCCCAAGAUCACACCAAGUACCGAGCCUAAGGAGAAAACACCCGGGCAGAUGUCUGUGAAGCGUUGUACACCGUCCUGCUCAUGCCGCUGGAGGGACAGAGAGGAGGACUUGGCCACGAGGUGCUGGAGCAAUGGAAGGACCCGUCGCCGCUAGCGGCGGUGGUGUGGUCCACGUUGGCCUCCGGCCGCAACGGCGGCGUGGACAAAGCGAGUGUAGCCGCGAGAUCGGAGAGGUCGGCGCGCUAGCAGGUGCGGAGACGUCGACACGAGGUGGUCGGGGAGGACCAAACGACGAGCGAAAGGCCCGGGGCGUGCAUGCAGAAACUUCAUUUCUCUGCCUUUUUGUAGAAUGCUGCCAAUAAUGUUUUUAUUUUGAAUUUUUAUCAUGCGAGACAAGUUCUUCCUUUUGUUCAUACUAGCAAAAAAGCCCGUGCG
RNAcentral lists this ribosomal RNA (2988 nucleotides) under Triticum aestivum (bread wheat). RNAcentral describes it as "partial small subunit ribosomal RNA". The record is from RNAcentral. Lineage: Eukaryota; Viridiplantae; Streptophyta; Magnoliopsida; Poales; Poaceae.